GUGGGGAAUAUUGGACAAUGGGCGAAAGCCUGAUCCAGCCAUGCCGCGUGUGUGAAGAAGGUCUUCGGAUUGUAAAGCACUUUAAGUUGGGAGGAAGGGCAGUAAGUUAAUACCUUGCUGUUUUGACGUUACCGACAGAAUAAGCACCGGCUAACUUCGUGCCAGCAGCCGCGGUAAUACGAAGGGUGCAAGCGUUAAUCGGAAUUACUGGGCGUAAAGCGCGCGUAGGUGGUUUUGUAAGUUGGAGGUGAAAUCCCCGGGCUCAACCUGGGAACUGCCUCCAAAACUACUGAGCUAGAGUACGGUAGAGGGUAGUGGAAUUUCCUGUGUAGCGGUGAAAUGCGUAGAUAUAGGAAGGAACACCAGUGGCGAAGGCGACUACCUGGACUGAUACUGACACUGAGGUGCGAAAGCGUGGGGAGCAAACAGGAUUAGAAACCCGAGUAGUCC
RNAcentral lists this ribosomal RNA (450 nucleotides) under uncultured bacterium. RNAcentral's name for it is "partial 16S ribosomal RNA". It matches the Rfam family "Bacterial small subunit ribosomal RNA", at positions 354 to 796 of the family's 1533-position model. The record is from RNAcentral.